ACGUACGCUGGCGGCACGCCUAACACAUGCAAGUCGAACGAAGUAGCAAUACUUAGUGGCAGACGGGUGAGUAACAUGUGGGUAUCUGCCCUUUGGCCUGGAAUAACACGAGGAAACUUGUGCUAAUACCGGAUAAGUCUUUACGGAGAAAGCUUUAUGCACCAUUGGAUGAGCCUGCACUUGAUUAGUUUGUUGGUGGGGUAAUGGCCUACCAAGACUGUGAUCAAUAGCUGAUUUGAGAGGAUGAUCAGCCACAUUGGGACUGAGACACGGCCCAAACUCCUACGGGAGGCAGCAGUGGGGAAUCUUGCACAAUGGAGGAAACUCUGAUGCAGCGAUGCCGCGUGAGUGAAGAAGGCCCUUGGGUUGUAAAGCUCUUUCGUCGGGGAAGAAAAUGACUGUACCCGAAUAAGAAGGUCCGGCUAACUUCGUGCCAGCAGCCGCGGUAAUACGAAGGGACCUAGCGUAGUUCGGAAUUACUGGGCUUAAAGAGUUCGUAGGUGGUUGAAAAAGUUAGUGGUGAAAUCCCAGAGCUUAACUCUGGAACUGCCAUUAAAACUUUUCAGCUAGAGUAUGAUAGAGGAAAGCAGAAUUUCUAGUGUAGAGGUGAAAUUCGUAGAUAUUAGAAAGAAUACCAAUUGCGAAGGCAGCUUUCUGGAUCAUUACUGACACUGAGGAACGAAAGCAUGGGUAGCGAAGAGGAUUAGAUACCCUCGUAGUCCAUGCCGUAAACGAUGUGUGUUAGACGUUGGAAAUUUAUUUUCAGUGUCGCAGGGAAACCGAUAAACACACCGCCUGGGGAGUACGACCGCAAGGUUAAAACUCAAAUGAAUUGACGGGGACCCGCACAAGUAGUGGAGCAUGUGGUUUAAUUCGAAGAUACGCGCAAAACCUUACCAACACUUGACAUGUUCGUCGCGACUCUAAGAGAUUAGAGUUUUCGGUUCGGCCGGACGAAACACAGGUGCUGCAUGGCUGUCGUCAGCUCGUGUCGUGAGAUGUUGGGUUAAGUCCCGCAACGAGCGCAACCCUCACUUUUAGUUGCCAUCAUUAAGUUGGGCACUCUGAAAGAACUGCCAGUGAUAAGCUGGAGGAAGGUGGGGAUGACGUCAAGUCCUCAUGGCCCUUACGUGUUGGGCUACACACGUGCUACAAUGGUAUCUACAACAGGAAGCAAGACGGCGACGUCAAGCAAAUCCCUAAAAGAUACCUCAGUUCGGAUUGCACUCUGCAACUCGAGUGCAUGAAGCUGGAAUUACUAGUAAUCGUGGAUCAGCGUGCCACGGUGAAUGCGUUCCCGGGUCUUGUACACACCGC
This 1317-nucleotide ribosomal RNA is filed under the name uncultured Alphaproteobacteria bacterium. RNAcentral's name for it is "bacterial SSU rRNA". It matches the Rfam family "Bacterial small subunit ribosomal RNA", at positions 29 to 1393 of the family's 1533-position model. The record is from RNAcentral. Lineage: Bacteria; Pseudomonadati; Pseudomonadota; Alphaproteobacteria.